GUGAGAUCGUUCGGCAAACAUAUGUUUUGGAACCAUGGCUCCAGUUUGAUCGUUGGCAUAAUUUUGUAAUGGCUAAGGGUCAAGUCGUCUUUGGUUAUUGGAAAGUCGUCGAUUUCAGUUCUUGUUGUUUCAAGCUUAGCUGCAUGAUCAGCUCUGUCGUUUCCCGUUAGAUGAAUAUGUCCAGGAAUCCAUUGAAUGGUGAGACUGUCUAUUUGUGAUCUAUUAAUUAAUUUAUAAAUGGUACAGAUUAAAAAGUUUUCAUCAUUUUUCGUACUUUGAA
Molecule: long non-coding RNA, 280 nt
Organism: Wyeomyia smithii (pitcher-plant mosquito)
Lineage: Eukaryota; Metazoa; Arthropoda; Insecta; Diptera; Culicidae
Exons: 2
Source: RefSeq, a predicted model, not a curated record